Nicotiana tabacum (common tobacco) is the source of this 1918-nucleotide non-coding RNA. The record is from RefSeq and is a predicted model, not a curated record. NCBI's taxonomy places the organism in Eukaryota, Viridiplantae, Streptophyta, Magnoliopsida, Solanales, Solanaceae.
UUCUCUUUUAGCUUUGACCAAGGACUCAUAUUUUUGGUUAAACAAUUAUCAAUGUUAGUCAUCUUUAUAUAAGCUGAUGCUAUAACUGAGAAUCUAAAGAGCCUUUUUUAGCAUUGUCACUAAUUUGUCCAAUGAAUAAUUCCUUUUACUUAUUUGUAUUGCUUUCAAUUCUCAUAUAUUACUACUGUUAUUUACUUAUAAAAGAUUAAGUUUGUAUUUUGACAUGCUUAGAUUUUUCUGUUCUUCACUUUUCCUUUGGACUUUAAAUUUUUAUAGUUGAACGAAGGGGUCAUUAUGUUGUUAAUGGAUUUCCAUUACAUUGCUUAUAUUGCUAUUACGAUAUGCUUUUCUUGUGAAGUUGUUAGAUCAAUUUUAUUACAUGAUUAUGGGAAGCUGGUGCAAAUGUUUUCUUAUUCACAAUUGCAGAAUGGCUUGAGCUAAAAGAGGUAGCAAAACCAAGAGCUAUGUCCCCAAAUGAAGGCUCAAGGCAAGGCCUCAUUUGGCACCGGUGUCUCCGCUCAUGUGUGUUAUUAUAACAUACUUCAUGAGCUUAUGCUUGCUUUUUUUUGUGUGUGAAGUUAAGUAGUGUAAUUAGUGUGUCUUUCUUUGUGUGCAUUUGUGUGAAAUAGGAGAUGAUAUUUUGUGAAAGUUUACAAAAAAUAAUUAAAAACACUUUUUAACCUUUUAAGCGUAGUCCUCUGCAAGGAAAACACAUUAUACAUAAUCGGAAUUCUGAAAGUAAAACAUCAAUGACAACCAUUUUUUACUGAAUUUUUUGGAAAAUUAACUGAUAUUAGAGUGAUGUCUAUACUCCUGGCAUUACUCUUAAAAGGAGUGAUAGAUAUCUAAAGUGUUGUGCAUUAGUUUCUUUUGCAGAUAAGGAAACUUGAUGACUCUCUCUUUCACAAUCAGUUCUCUCAAGCGUCUAUUCCCUGUCAGUGGUAGAAAUCCUGGAUCCAGUGUUGUAUUUAUGCAUUAAUUUAAAACAGUUAUCUACUCCUUAGGUAGAGGAGUAUGAUAAGAGACAUAGCAAAAGUUAUUCAAGAAGCAGGAGUCCUCGACGGAGCUAUAGCAGCCAGAGCAAAAGUGUAUCUCCUAGGGGUAAAUACUCUCAUCGCUCUGCGUCUCUCUCGCACUCCAGGUCUUUUUCCCCUGCUCGCUCUGUUUCUAGAUAAUGUAUGAGGAGGCAAGUUAAGUUUUGAAUGAUGAUCUUAGAAGUAUAAGAACUGUUGCGCGUCAUUUUUUGCAAAAGAGGUCUUAGAAAUGUGCCACACGAAAGAGUGAAGGCCCAUUGAAUGCAAGAAUAAAGAAAUAUUUAUUAGCAGCCUGGCAAUUUUUUCACUUCUGAGGAUGGCAUCUAUAUCCAUGACCAGUCAAGCUCAUUGGUGUCAAGUACGACCAGGAGGGGCCCUGUGUCAAUAUUUGCUAUUCCAGACUAGAAAUCAAGAAAAAAAGAUUCUAAGUGAUGAUUUUGGUAUGACACAGGACACUCUGAAGGGUAGUAUCCAAGAAGGCCAGAUGUUUAAACUUUUAGAGACCUUUGCUUGACCAUUUGUUGUGGCAGGGUGAAUUGACAGUGAAUUAUUGCAGAUUUGCUUCCGUUUCUUCUCUAUCUUCUUUCUCCUGAAAAAAUAGUUACAGAGAGAAUUUGCAGUAUUGGGUAAAUUAUUGAUUAGUAUGAAUGGCUGCAAUUCAUGAAUUCUGGAGCAUCUAGAGUUUAAGAGAUGCGCUGAUGAGCUUCUUAGUUGAGACAUAAGUUCGACUUCCGUGUGUUGUGAAAUGUAAAAUUGCACGCCACGGCAUUUGGAGUACCUUAUUUUUCUCUUUUCCCCUAACAUUUAUCGUUAGGAGGCGACAAGACAGCUCGUAAUGUUUUGUGGAGCUUACUCCGAGCAUAGUUGAUAUUAGAUUGUUCUUA